Molecule: ribosomal RNA, 253 nt
Filed under: uncultured bacterium
Lineage: Bacteria
Description: partial 16S ribosomal RNA
Rfam family: Bacterial small subunit ribosomal RNA
Source: RNAcentral
UACAGAGGUCCCGAGCGUUGUUCGGAUUCACUGGGCGUAAAGGGUGCGUAGGUGGUGGGGUAAGUCGGAUGUGAAAGCUCGGAGCUCAACUCCGAAAUGGCAUUGGAAACUACCCUGCUGGAGGUUUGGAGGGGGGACUGGAAUACUUGGUGUAGCAGUGAAAUGCGUAGAUAUCAAGUGGAACACCAGUGGCGAAGGCGAGUCCCUGGACGACUCCUGACACUGAGGCACGAAAGCUAGGGGAGCAAACAGG